RNAcentral lists this ribosomal RNA (301 nucleotides) under uncultured bacterium. RNAcentral describes it as "partial 16S ribosomal RNA". It matches the Rfam family "Bacterial small subunit ribosomal RNA", at positions 509 to 807 of the family's 1533-position model. The record is from RNAcentral.
CAGCAGCCGCGGUAACACGAAGGGGGCUAGCGUUGUUCGGAAUUACUGGGCGUAAAGCGCACGUAGGCGGAUAUUUAAGUCAGGGGUGAAAUCCCGCAGCUCAACUGCGGAACUGCCUUUGAUACUGGGUAUCUUGAGUAUGGAAGAGGUAAGUGGAAUUCCGAGUGUAGAGGUGAAAUUCGUAGAUAUUCGGAGGAACACCAGUGGCGAAGGCGGCUUACUGGUCCAUUACUGACGCUGAGGUGCGAAAGCGUGGGGAGCAAACAGGAUUAGAUACCCCCGUAGUCCCUGUCUCUUAUAC